Molecule: small nuclear RNA, 104 nt
Organism: Grammomys surdaster
Lineage: Eukaryota; Metazoa; Chordata; Mammalia; Rodentia; Muridae
Source: RefSeq, a predicted model, not a curated record
GUUCACUUGACUGUACAUAUACUAAAACUGGAAGACUAAACAGAAGGUUAGCGUGGCCCCUGAGCAAUGAUGACACAUAAAUCCAUGAAGUAAUCCAUAUUUUU